Molecule: long non-coding RNA, 551 nt
Organism: Harpia harpyja (harpy eagle)
Lineage: Eukaryota; Metazoa; Chordata; Aves; Accipitriformes; Accipitridae
Exons: 2
Source: RefSeq, a predicted model, not a curated record
GAAGAGCCGUGGGUUUCCCCCCCCCCAAGACGGGUGUUUUGUGGAAGGGCUGAGUGUUUUUCAAGGCGGUCAGGCGCACGGACGGGUCUCCCCGCUCAGCGUGAGGAGGUUAUGAACUUUCCCGCAGAGCACUUCGCAUCUGCAAGGAGCCGUCGCCUUCUCCCCCAUGCAGCAAACUCUGCCUGUAGCAGCGGUUGUCUGGGAAAUGAGUAUGUUUUCUAAAUGCGUGCAUUCCUGCGUCUGCGUCGCAGAGGACAGGCUGCCUUAGGUAACUGGAUUGAUCGUUACAGGUGGACUACAACGCGGCACUUAUCCAGAAAGGAUGGAGUUAGUUACUUAUUCAAAAAUCUCACUCCGUAGAGAAGAAUGUGAACUCCAGUUAGUUUCUCAAUCCAGUGUAUUUUCGUUUGGGUUCCUUUGGCUGCAUCAGGCAAGCCCUAACUGAGAACUUAACUUUGUUCUGCAAGGUAAUGUAGCAAUAACAUAAUUGUAGAAUCUUGUGUAAUAAAUAUUAUCCUUAAUAAUAAACCUCACAUUCUUAAUUUUGUCAA